UACAGAGGAUGCAAGCGUUAUCCGGAAUCAUUGGGCGUAAAGCGCGUGUAGGCGGCUCGGUAAGUCCGCUCUGAAAGUCCAGGGCUCAACCCUGGGAUGCGGGUGGAUACUGCCGGGCUCGAGUCCGGAAGAGGCGAGUGGAAUUCCCGGUGUAGCGGUGAAAUGCGCAGAUAUCGGGAGGAACACCAACGGCGAAAGCACUCUGCUGGGCCGACACUGACACUGAGAGACGAAAGCUAGGGGAGCGAAUGGG
RNAcentral lists this ribosomal RNA (253 nucleotides) under uncultured bacterium. RNAcentral describes it as "partial 16S ribosomal RNA". It matches the Rfam family "Bacterial small subunit ribosomal RNA", at positions 524 to 776 of the family's 1533-position model. The record is from RNAcentral.